RNAcentral lists this ribosomal RNA (592 nucleotides) under uncultured Verrucomicrobiota bacterium. RNAcentral describes it as "bacterial SSU rRNA". The stretch from base 74 to 592 matches the Rfam family "Bacterial small subunit ribosomal RNA", at positions 1 to 494 of the family's 1533-position model. Lineage: Bacteria; Pseudomonadati; Verrucomicrobiota. The record is from RNAcentral.
AUGUAUACGACUCACUAUAGGGCGAAUUGGGCCCGACGUCGCAUGCUCCCGGCCGCCAUGGCGGCCGCGGGAAUUCGAUUAGAGUUUGAUCAUGGCUCAGAACGAACGCUGGCGGCGUGGAUAAGACAUGCAAGUCGAACGCUGGCUUCAGGGUAGCAAUAUUCUGAAGUCGGAGUGGCGCAAGGGUGCGUAACACGUGGGUAAUUUGCCGUGAAGUUUGGGGUAACUCGCUGAAAGGCGAGCUAAUACCGGAUGUGACUGUCUGGAGGCAUCUCUGGACAUUUAAAGUUGGGGACCGCAAGGCCUGACGCUUCAUGAUAAACCCGCGGCCUAUCAGCUAGUUGGUGAGGUAACGGCCCACCAAGGCUAAGACGGGUAGCUGGUCUGAGAGGACGACCAGCCACACUGGAACUGAGACACGGUCCAGACACCUACGGGUGGCAGCAGUCGAGGAUUUUUCACACUGAGCGAAAGCUUGAUGGAGCGACGCCGCGUGGGGGAUGAAGGGCUUCGGUCUGUAAACCCCUGUCAUUUGCGAACAAACCUUCUCGUGAACAGACGGGAAGCUGAUAGUAGUGAAAGAGGAAGUACG